GUCCGUUAGUUUUUUCCAUAUCUGAAUUAAUCAGUGUUGGCCGCGUACUAGUUGUCAUAUAUAAAUUUUAGUACUUCUUAUGAUGACAAUACAGCAGUUUACUCAAGGAAUGGAGACGCAUGGAUUCACUUAUCUCACACGUGGGAAAGUAUCAACAUCCUACAUUAAUGGACUGGAGGAGGUCGAGAAUAUUGCAGGUUUAAUGCAGUCUACGAAUAAUAGUUACUCAAAAAGGCAGUACGGCAGAUCACUCAAGUCACGCUGAUACAUGAAUUCACAUUUCUCACGCGUGGGAUAGUAUCAACAGCCUACGUUGCAAAUGGACUAGAAGAUGCUGAGAAUAAUACGUGUUAUAUGCAAUAUGGCAGUACGGCAGUUCACUUAAGGAAUUCUGACGCAUGGAUUCACUUAUCUCACACGUGGGAAAGUAUCAACAUCCUAUGUUGCAAAUGGACUAGAAGAUGCUGAGAAUAAUACGUGUUAUAUGCAAUG
RNAcentral lists this unclassified non-coding RNA (492 nucleotides) under Rhopalosiphum maidis (corn leaf aphid). RNAcentral describes it as "uncharacterized LOC113559394, transcript variant X5". The record is from RNAcentral. Lineage: Eukaryota; Metazoa; Arthropoda; Insecta; Hemiptera; Aphididae.